This 253-nucleotide ribosomal RNA is filed under the name uncultured bacterium. RNAcentral's name for it is "partial 16S ribosomal RNA". It matches the Rfam family "Bacterial small subunit ribosomal RNA", at positions 524 to 776 of the family's 1533-position model. The record is from RNAcentral.
UACGUAGGGGGCUAGCGUUGUCCGGAAUCAUUGGGCGUAAAGCGCGUGUAGGCGGCUUGCCAAGUCCGAUGUGAAAGCUCGGGGCUUAACCCCGAGUCUGCAUUGGAAACUGGCUUGCUUGAGUCCGGAAGAGGAGACUGGAAUUCCUGGUGUAGCGGUGAAAUGCGCAGAUAUCAGGAAGAACACCGGUGGCGAAGGCGGGUCUCUGGGACGGUACUGACGCUGAGACGCGAAAGCGUGGGGAGCAAACAGG